Molecule: unclassified non-coding RNA, 419 nt
Filed under: Trichoderma longibrachiatum
Lineage: Eukaryota; Fungi; Ascomycota; Sordariomycetes; Hypocreales; Hypocreaceae
Description: sequence contains ITS1, 5.8S rRNA gene, ITS2
Rfam family: 5.8S ribosomal RNA (bases 198-351)
Source: RNAcentral
CGGAGGAGCGUGUCUUUAUCGGAGGAGCAGGAAUUUCUUGCGAGGAGCGCGUCACAGCCCCGAGAUCCCAUGGCGCCCGCCGGAGGACCAACUCCAAACUCUUUUUUCUCUCCGUCGCGGCUCCCGUCGCGGCUCUGUUUUAUUUUUGCUCUGAGCCUUUCUCGGCGACCCUAGCGGGCGUCUCGAAAAUGAAUCAAAACUUUCAACAACGGAUCUCUUGGUUCUGGCAUCGAUGAAGAACGCAGCGAAAUGCGAUAAGUAAUGUGAAUUGCAGAAUUCAGUGAAUCAUCGAAUCUUUGAACGCACAUUGCGCCCGCCAGUAUUCUGGCGGGCAUGCCUGUCCGAGCGUCAUUUCAACCCUCGAACCCCUCCGGGGGGUCGGCGUUGGGGAUCGGCCCCUCACCGGGCCGCCCCCGAAA